CACGGGGGACGAGCGUGUUCGGAUUACUGGCGUAAAGGGUGCGUAGGCGGGUCGGCAAGUCGGGUGUGAAAUUCCAUGGCUCAACCAUGGAUCUGCACUCGAAACUGCCGGUCUUGAGUACAGGAGAGGUGAGUGGAAUUCCCGGUGUAGCGGUGAAAUGCGUAGAUAUCGGGGAGGAACACCGUUGGCGAAGGCGGCUCACUGGACUGAUACUGACGCUGAGGCACGAAGGCCGGGGGACAAAC
Molecule: ribosomal RNA, 245 nt
Filed under: uncultured bacterium
Lineage: Bacteria
Description: partial 16S ribosomal RNA
Rfam family: Bacterial small subunit ribosomal RNA
Source: RNAcentral